GUAGUCAUAUGCUUGUCUCAAAGAUUAAGCCAUGCAUGUCUAAGUAUAAGCACUCAUACUGUGAAACUGCGAAUGGCUCAUUAAAUCAGUUAUCGUUUAUUUGAUAGUACCUUUACCUGGAUAACCGUGGUAAUUCUAGAGCUAAUACAUGCUAAAAAUCCCGACUUCGGAAGGGAUGUAUUUAUUAGAUAAAAAACCAAUGCCCUUCGGGGCUCCUUGGUGAUUCAUAAUAACUUAACGAAUCGCAUGGCCUUGCGCCGGCGAUGGUUCAUUCAAAUUUCUGCCCUAUCAACUUUCGAUGGUAAGGUCUUGGCUUACCAUGGUCUCAACGGGUAACGGGGAAU
RNAcentral lists this ribosomal RNA (344 nucleotides) under uncultured fungus. Its description in RNAcentral is "SSU rRNA". It matches the Rfam family "Eukaryotic small subunit ribosomal RNA", at positions 20 to 370 of the family's 1831-position model. Lineage: Eukaryota; Fungi. The record is from RNAcentral.